RNAcentral lists this long non-coding RNA (1389 nucleotides) under Scleropages formosus (Asian bonytongue). Its description in RNAcentral is "lncRNA (ENSSFOG00015026988.1)". Lineage: Eukaryota; Metazoa; Chordata; Actinopteri; Osteoglossiformes; Osteoglossidae. The record is from RNAcentral.
GGUGUACUGUAGCCAGCUCUAUUAGCAUGACACUUUUAAGAACACACUCUAAGCAUAAUGUGGGUUAAGUUCAGCUGCACAUUUGAAACAUGCAGAAUGUCCCGAUUUGUCUCAUCGUUCACGAAAUCAAGUGUGAAAACGGUGCGAGUAGCAAAAUGCGGGAUUUAAUAGUGGCGAGGGAUGACCUGAGAGUGAAACGGCCCUGCUAUGGUAAGUGCCCUCGCUAAUGGGGAAGUUCCCUUACCAGGGUUAGUAACCCUGCUUCUCCUGCUGUUCCGAGGCCUUGUACUGGCAGCGUUCAUCACUGUUUCCAUUCCUCUUUUCAGUAAUGUAAAUGAGAAGCCCGCGACGUGUGGAUGCGGAGAGAAACCUGCUCGUGCCUCACUUCUCAGAAGUCCACACGUAGCACAGUUUCAGUUGUAUUGGAACCGUGGUUCACGUGUGGAGUGUUGCCGUGACGACAGUCAACGCUGCCUCCAGCUCCAACGCACUCAGGUAGGCACAGGUACCUGGGCCCAAAGUUUUGUCACUCAUCCCCCCCCAACUCCUCACGGCUUGUCCAGAAACAGGCGGUUCUAAAAUGUGUAGAAAAAAAAAAAAAUGCAGCAUGUAAAAAAGGAUGUUUUUUCACCAUAGCAGAUUUUGCUGUUACCAAGCGUGGUUGUGCAUUUUUUUUAUGGCGUGCUGAAAAGGUAAACAAUAACACUGUUUCCACAGGAAAUGACAGGUGUUAACCUGGUCCUUAUGUAAGGGCUUCGCUUUACCCUGAAACCAGCAGGGCGUCUGACAGUGUGCCUCGUUCUGCAAGAGCCCUCGGCAGUGGCGGCAGUGUCAUGUGAGGUGUCCCCAGCACAGUGCCAUCAGUGUUCACUUUCUCUUAGUUGACGCCUUUUACCAGCGCGGCCAAGUUCGGCCGACAUCUUGUUCGCCGUUUCCGUUACCCUGCUCUUGUGCAUUCCUCGCGCUGCACGGCAGCUCUCGUGUUGCUUUUGCCAGAACGUCGAACCCGAGCGCUUCUCGGCGUUCAUCUUGCUUAGCAGUGAGUGUUUGCCCGGCGCCUUUUGUUUACUUGCGGCUUCGCGAAGGUACGGCAGGGUGUACCGGCCUCCAUCGGUGUGCUCUUUCUGCCAUUUGUGGUUAAAGCUCUCAGUGCAGGGCUUCCUGUACACAACCUUGUCAUUCCUGCAGCACUACGGUGUGGAGACGGGUGCGAGAUGUGAACAUGUGGGCUUCCUUGUAAUAUCUUUUUAAUGAUAAAGCAGUACAGUAGGUCCACGGGGGAAAGUGACGGCGUUUUCGCUGUGGAGCGAACACGGUAAUACACUCCUUUCGUCCAAGAAGACAAUUGAAAUGGUGGUGAUCACUGGUGUUCGAGUGCUCUUCCAGAUC